AUUGAACGCUGGCGGCAGGCCUAACACAUGCAAGUCGAGCGGAUGAAGGGAGCUUGCUCCUGGAUUCAGCGGCGGACGGGUGAGUAAUGCCUAGGAAUCUGCCUGGCAGUGGGGGAUAACGUCCGGAAACGGGUGCUAAUACCGCAUACGUCCUGAGGGAGAAAGUGGGGGAUCUUCGGACCUCACGCUAUCAGAUGAGCCUAGGUCGGAUUAGCUAGUUGGUGGGGUAAAGGCCUACCAAGGCGACGAUCCGUAACUGGUCUGAGAGGAUGAUCAGUCACACUGGAACUGAGACACGGUCCAGACUCCUACGGGAGGCAGCAGUGGGGAAUAUUGGACAAUGGGCGAAAGCCUGAUCCAGCCAUGCCGCGUGUGUGAAGAAGGUCUUCGGAUUGUAAAGCACUUUAAGUUGGGAGGAAGGGCAGUAAGUUAAUACCUUGCUGUUUUGACGUUACCAACAGAAUAAGCACCGGCUAACUUCGUG
This 484-nucleotide ribosomal RNA is filed under the name uncultured bacterium. Its description in RNAcentral is "partial 16S ribosomal RNA". It matches the Rfam family "Bacterial small subunit ribosomal RNA", at positions 30 to 507 of the family's 1533-position model. The record is from RNAcentral.